CCUACGGGAGGCAGCAGUGGGGAAUAUUGCGCAAUGGGCGAAAGCCUGACGCAGCGACGCAGCGUGAGGGACGAAGGCCUUCGGGUUGUAAACCUCUUUCAGCGGGGACGAAGCGAAAGUGACGGUACCCGCAGAAGAAGCACCGGCUAACUACGUGCCAGCAGCCGCGGUAAUACGUAGGGUGCAAGCAUUGUCCGGAUUUAUUGGGCGUAAAGAGCUCGUAGGCGGCUUGUCACGUCGGAUGUGAAAACUCGGGGCUCAACCCCGAGCCUGCAUUCGAUACGGGCUAGCUAGAGUGUUGCAGGGGAGACUGGAAUUCCUGGUGUAGCGGUGAAAUGCGCAGAUAUCAGGAGGAACACCGGUGGCGAAGGCGGGUCUCUGGGCAACUACUGACGCUGAGGAGCGAAAGCGUGGGGAGCGAACAGGAUUAGAUACCCUGGUAGUCCACGCCGUAAACGGUGGGCGCUAGGUGUGGGGAACCUUCCACGUUCUCUGUGCCGUAGCUAACGCAUUAAGCGCCCCGCCUGGGGAGGUACGGCCGCGAGACAACUACAANAGAGUAGACGCGUGAGACGUGCCGAACGGACGACGACGAGGGAGUAGG
Molecule: ribosomal RNA, 604 nt
Filed under: uncultured bacterium
Lineage: Bacteria
Description: bacterial SSU rRNA
Rfam family: Bacterial small subunit ribosomal RNA (bases 1-525)
Source: RNAcentral